RNAcentral lists this ribosomal RNA (263 nucleotides) under uncultured Megasphaera sp. RNAcentral's name for it is "partial 16S ribosomal RNA". It matches the Rfam family "Bacterial small subunit ribosomal RNA", at positions 109 to 356 of the family's 1533-position model. Lineage: Bacteria; Bacillati; Bacillota; Negativicutes; Veillonellales; Veillonellaceae. The record is from RNAcentral.
AGUAACGCGUAAACAACCUGCCCUUCGGAUGGGGAUAACAGCCGGAAACGGCUGCUAAUACCGAAUACGAUCUUUUCGUCGCAUGACGGAAAGAAGAAAGGAUGGCCUCUAUACAAAGCUAUCGCCGAAGGAGGGGUUUGCGUCUGAUUAGCUGGUUGGAGGGGUAACGGCCCAACAAGGCGAUGAUCAGUAGCCGGUCUGAGAGGAUGAACGGCCACAUUGGGACUGAGACACGGCCCAGACUCCUACGGGAGGCAGCAGCG